AUGAGAGUCACUGGGAGGGGAAGAGCUUUAUCAGCUAUCAUGCUAACCAGGGAGGUUUCUUGGAGUUCCUCUCAUGAGUCCCUCAAUUACUGGGACUAGGAGGAAUUCAGAAUGUGCUCUCACAGGAGAGCCACAGAACUUGGGUCAGACAUUGAUUUUUCUGGAAGUGGGGAGAUGAGUAGGUUUAGGUGCAAGGCUCCAACCUAGAAAAUUAGCCCUAUGUAUGACUUCAGGAAGACCCCUUCACCGCUCUUUGGUUUACCAUUUAAUUCUGUAAAACGUGGUUAAGGAUAUCUUCCUCACCUGCUUUCCAGGGUUGCUGUGGCGAUAACAGUGUCAUAAUAGAUGCUAAUUGCUUUGGAAAGUAAGAGGUAUAAGCGAACAUAACAAUGAUAGCUGAUGUUUUCAUGUAUCUUCAAAGCCUGUUAUUCCCAUUUUACAGAUGAAUCUGAAGCACAAAGGUUAAAUGACACAGCUAGUUAAUGCCUGGUACUACUUUUGAACUGAGAAUUUUCUGACCCCAAGGCUAAUGUUUUCUCCACGCCACCAUCGAAUUACACCAAACAGAAAAGAGAACUAGACCAGGAUUCAGGAGAGCUGGAUUUGAAUUUGCAACUCUGGGGGGGAGAGAGGUACUUCCUCCAGGAAGAUGAGUUUCUGGAGACAGGAGGGAAGUUCCAGUGAUUAACCAUGUGGAAAAUGAAAUAUCAAGAUGUGUACUACCUUACCCCACAGGAUUACGAUUACAUGACAGUUAAUUACAUGACAAUAUUUUAUAUUUGUUUUCUGACAUUUCGCAAUUCCUGUUCUCUGCCUCCCUCCUCAAGAAGGCAGAGUCAUCCAAGUCCAGUGGUGAGGCAAAAGUCAAGACAACAGGUUGCAAUGGAUGACCUCAUCAUCUUCAAUGUCUGACUAAGCUCCUCCAC
This 926-nucleotide long non-coding RNA is filed under the name Monodelphis domestica (gray short-tailed opossum). Its description in RNAcentral is "lncRNA (ENSMODG00000049431.1)". The record is from RNAcentral. Lineage: Eukaryota; Metazoa; Chordata; Mammalia; Didelphimorphia; Didelphidae.